AUGAUCCUCAAGUACUUCAACAUUGAGGAAUCUACCAGAAGGAUCGAUAAUUUUGAUAAUCCAGCCGUGUUUGAAGAAAAUGUUGAUAAUUCUAUGGUUGAUGAGCAACCAAUUGGUGGCAUUAAUCAAAAUGAUGUGAAUAUGCUUGAUGUCAACCAUGAGGAAGAUGAAGCAUGGAUAAAUGCUAUAACAAAUCAAUACCAUGAGCAAACACAAGGAUAG
This is a non-coding RNA of Vicia faba (fava bean), 222 nucleotides long. The record is from the annotation of a GenBank genome assembly. NCBI's taxonomy places the organism in Eukaryota, Viridiplantae, Streptophyta, Magnoliopsida, Fabales, Fabaceae.